CAAAUUGUUUACUCCCCCUACAUUGAACUCCAGGACUAUACCAACACCACUUGGGUGAAUGACUAGAUUUUUUGCAAUGGGGACAAGGUGGAUAAUCCACCUUUUUAUCAGUAGCACUUCUACUAUCUUCAGGUCUCCUUCUUCCAGGCUGGUUUUGCUUCACACCAUAACUGGUUUGUACCUUAAAUUUUCCUUUAACAAAUAAGGGUCCUUCUACCUGUUCCUCUUGCCUCAUCAGACGUCUUUGUUCAGUGGCUUGCAAAGCAUUAACAAGUUCAGCCACAUACAUUGAAGACAGAUCCCUUGAGUCCUCCAGUGAUGAGAUUUUAGCUUCGAACUUCUCGGGCAAGCUGAUAAGAACCUUUUCCAUGAUUCUCUUGUCACUUAACUUAUCUCCCAAUAGUCUUAUUUGAUUCACAACCUUCAUUAAUAUGUCAGAAUAAUCUUUGACAGAUUCAGUCUCCUUCAUCUUCAGACUCUCAAACUCUCUUCUCAGGUUGAGCACUUUCAUUUGUCUUGUUCUUGCAUUUCUCCUAAACUCCUCUUGCAACCGAUCCCAGGCCUCCUUUGCUAUCUCGCAUGUGAUUAUUCUGGUGAAGAUUGCAUCAGAUACGGCGGAUUGAAUGCAAAACAAAGCUUUACACUUUUUUGCUACCUCCUCACCAUGCUGUUUCAACUGAGCAAUGGUUGGAUUAGCUCUCAAUGGUGGAGGUUCUGUUCCUGUUUUAGUUAUCUCCCACAAGUCAUAAGCCUUCAAGUAUGCCUUCAUUUUAGCAGCCUAAAAAUCGUAAUUAUCUCCUGUAAAUGCAGCAGGCAAUGGUGCUGAGAAACCACUUGAAGCCAUCACUCUUGAAUCUUCAAAUUUACUUGUCCGAGAUAUCACUGAUUAGAUGAAC
RNAcentral lists this long non-coding RNA (896 nucleotides) under Olea europaea subsp. europaea. The record is from RNAcentral. Lineage: Eukaryota; Viridiplantae; Streptophyta; Magnoliopsida; Lamiales; Oleaceae.